Molecule: long non-coding RNA, 1198 nt
Organism: Brassica rapa (field mustard)
Lineage: Eukaryota; Viridiplantae; Streptophyta; Magnoliopsida; Brassicales; Brassicaceae
Source: RefSeq, a predicted model, not a curated record
GACGUCGCUUAUUUUGGCUACGCAAGAUACGGUCUUUUGAAGACACGUGUAGGCAGGGGAUGAUACCGUCCCGACUCUCGGUCUCUCUCUAUCGCGAAGAAGGAAGAAAGAAGAAGAAGCCAUGGCAGAGACCUCGUCUCUCGGAGACUGAAACCAACCCACGUCAAAGAGAUCCUGAUCGGAACCAUAGACGAACUCAAACUGGGUCUGAGGUUCUUCAAUUUCCUCGGCCUGCACAGAGGAUUCGACCACUCGACGGCGUCGUUCUGCGUCUUGAUCCACGCUCUGGUCCAAUCCAAUCUCUUUUGGCCGGCCUCGUCGCUCCUGCAGACGUUUCUCCUCCGGGGGCUUAACCCAAGCGAGGCUUCUCACGUGCUUUACACCUGUUACGAGAAGUGUAAGCUUGGUUCGAGUUCAAGCUCGAGUUUUGAUUUGUUGAUUCAGCAUUAUGUACGAAGUAGGAUAGGUUUAGAUGGCGUUUUGGUGUUUAGGUUCAUGAAGAAAGUUGGUUUACUGCCUCAAGUCAGAACCUUGAGCGCGUUGUUACAUGGUUUAGUUCAUUGUAGGCAUUACGGUUUGGUGAUGGAGGUGUUUAGGAGACUAUCAUGCUUUGUUCUCAGCAGCUCAAGAUGUCGCCGAGUGCCUUGAUAAAAGCCAGAAGAAUCUGUUGGCCAUAUGGACGAUUAAAGCAGUUGUGGCUAAUGACCUCUUUACUGAUGACAGCUUUAUGUAUAAUAAAGAUUGUGUUUCAGUUCUGCAAAGAGAACUCCUUGAAUCAAAUGUUCCAUACACUAUAGAGCGAGUGUCAGGUUUCUCUUAACACAGUAGACAGCGUGGAGACGUUUGUUUCUGAUAUUAAUAAUGGGAGAUGGGACUCUGUUCUUCCUCAAGUGUCUCAGCUUAAGCUUUCCAGGAAUAAACUAGAAGACCUUUAUGAACAGUGAUGGCUACUAUGGAGAAGCCUAUUGAUUCAAGCCAUGGUGAUUCUGCCACUUCUUCAAAUCGGGUACCACUUCUUCAAAUCAGUAUAUAUAGACACAUACAAACAUAUGUAUGCAAAGUACGAAUCUUUGAAUGAAUUAGACAUGUCUAUAAGAGGAAUUGUGGUUCUUGAACUGAGAAUAUGAAUUAUUUUUUGUUCUAACUGCAUGAUAUGGCAUCUUUGUUUUAAUUUUAAUAAAAAUGUUUAAUAAGUUUU